This 382-nucleotide ribosomal RNA is filed under the name uncultured eukaryote. RNAcentral describes it as "partial 18S ribosomal RNA". It matches the Rfam family "Eukaryotic small subunit ribosomal RNA", at positions 592 to 976 of the family's 1831-position model. The record is from RNAcentral.
UGUAAGCGUAUACCAAAGUUGUUGCAGUUAAAACGCUCGUAGUCGGAAUUUGGCAGUUCCGGAUGUGUGCACGUCGUGUGCGCACUUCGCGGGGAUUGCUUUUGUGGUCUUGCGUAGGAUGAGGCACUUUUAUUAGUGAACGUCCUCACGCAACCACUUUUUACUGUGAGAAAAUCAGAGUGCUCAAAGCAGGCAUUUGCCGUGAAUGUAUUAGCAUGGAAUAAUAGAAUAGGACUUGGUUCUAUUUUGCUGGUUUGUUGGGACUGAGUAAUGAUUAAGAGGGACAGUUGGGGGCAUUUGUAUUUCGGCGCUAGAGGUGAAAUUCUUAGAUUGCCGAAAGACAAACUGCUGCGAAAGCGUCUGCCAAGGAUGUUUUCAUUGA